Molecule: ribosomal RNA, 279 nt
Filed under: uncultured bacterium
Lineage: Bacteria
Description: partial 16S ribosomal RNA
Rfam family: Bacterial small subunit ribosomal RNA
Source: RNAcentral
UGCCAGCAGCCGCGGUAAGACAGAGGGUGCAAACGUUGCUCGGAAUCACUGGGCGUAAAGCGCGUGUAGGCGGGUCGGCAAGUCAGGUGUGAAAUCCCUGGGCUCAACCCAGGAACUGCAUCUGAAACUGCCAGCCUUGAGUGUCGGAGAGGGAAGCGGAAUUCCUGGUGUAGAGGUGAAAUUCGUAGAUAUCAGGAGGAACACCUGUGGCGAAGGCGGCUUCCUGGACGACUACUGACGCUGAGACGCGAAAGCGUGGGGAGCAAACAGGAUUAGAUA